RNAcentral lists this long non-coding RNA (300 nucleotides) under Medicago truncatula (barrel medic). Its description in RNAcentral is "long non-coding RNA (MTRU_LNC003858)". Lineage: Eukaryota; Viridiplantae; Streptophyta; Magnoliopsida; Fabales; Fabaceae. The record is from RNAcentral.
UAGAUUGUCAUUCACAAUAAAUAGAGUUUCACAGCAACAUAGAUCAAUUAAGGUUACAAAGAAUCAUCUCAGACCUAAUCAAAGGAAAUUAGCUAGACAUGAUUAAAAUAAUAAACAACAUAGUAAAGAAAAUAAACCGAUAGAGUUCCGUCGUUGCCGUCGGCCUUGCUCCCGGUUACUUUUCAAUCGCUACUGUUCUUUCUUAUUCUUUUUCCAUAUCAUGUGCUCGUAUUUCUUUUUCUCCCGUAGCUUGAAUGAGCGGCUCCUUUUCUUUUUCCAAAACGUAAAUUGUGAUUCCUC